GAUGAACGCUGGCGGCGUGCCUAAUACAUGCAAGUCGAACGAAGGUAGCAAUACCUUAGUGGCGAACGGGUGAGUAACACGUAGGUAACCUGCCUUUCAGUUGGGGAUAACCGAGGGAAACUUUGGCUAAUACCGAAUUCGUGCUUCGAAGGCAUCUUGGAGCAUAAAAGGGGCCUUUAAAGCCUCGCUGAUUGAUGGACCUGCGGCGCAUUAGUUAGUUGGUGAGAUAACAGCCCACCAAGACGAGGAUGCGUAGCCGACCUGAGAGGGUGAACGGCCACACUGGAACUGAGACACGGUCCAGACUCCUACGGGAGGCAGCAGUAGGGAGUUUUCGGCAAUGGGGGAAACCCUGACCGAGCAACGCCGCGUGAGUGAUGAAGGUCUUCGGAUUGUAAAGCUCUGUUAUAAGGGAAGAACGGCAGCUAGAGGAAAUGCUAGCUGUUUGACGGUACUUUAUGAGAAAGCCACGGCUAACUACGUG
This 484-nucleotide ribosomal RNA is filed under the name uncultured bacterium. Its description in RNAcentral is "bacterial SSU rRNA". It matches the Rfam family "Bacterial small subunit ribosomal RNA", at positions 28 to 507 of the family's 1533-position model. The record is from RNAcentral.